GAUGAACGCUGGCGGCGUGCCUAAUACAUGCAAGUCGAGCGAACAGACGAGGAGCUUGCUCCUCUGACGUUAGCGGCGGACGGGUGAGUAACACGUGGAUAACCUACCUAUAAGACUGGGAUAACUUCGGGAAACCGGAGCUAAUACCGGAUAAUCUAUUGAACCGCAUGGGUCAAUAGUGAAAGACGGUUUUGCUGUCACUUAUAGAUGGAUCCGCGCCGCAUUAGCUAGUUGGUAAGGUAACGGCUUACCAAGGCAACGAUGCGUAGCCGACCUGGGGGGGUGAUCGGCCACACUGGAACUUAGACACGGUCCAUACUCCUACGGGAGGCAGCAGUAGGGAAUCUUCCGCAAUGGGCGAAAGCCUGACGGAGCAACGCCGCGUGAGUGAUGAAGGUCUUCGGAUCGUAAUACUCUGUUAUUAGGGAAGAACAAAUGUGUAAGUAACUAUGCACGUCUUGACGGUACCUAAUCAGAAAGCCACGGCUAACUACGUG
Molecule: ribosomal RNA, 497 nt
Filed under: uncultured bacterium
Lineage: Bacteria
Description: partial 16S ribosomal RNA
Rfam family: Bacterial small subunit ribosomal RNA
Source: RNAcentral